RNAcentral lists this ribosomal RNA (496 nucleotides) under uncultured bacterium. Its description in RNAcentral is "partial 16S ribosomal RNA". It matches the Rfam family "Bacterial small subunit ribosomal RNA", at positions 28 to 506 of the family's 1533-position model. The record is from RNAcentral.
GACGAACGCUGGCGGCGUGCCUAAUACAUGCAAGUUGAGCGCUGAAGGUUGGUACUUGUACCAACUGGAUGAGCAGCGAACGGGUGAGUAACGCGUGGGGAAUCUGCCUUUGAGCGGGGGACAACAUUUGGAAACGAAUGCUAAUACCGCAUAAAAACUUUAAACACAAGUUUUAAGUUUGAAAGAUGCAAUUGCAUCACUCAAAGAUGAUCCCGCGUUGUAUUAGCUAGUUGGUGAGGUAAAGGCUCACCAAGGCGAUGAUACAUAGCCGACCUGAGAGGGUGAUCGGCCACAUUGGGACUGAGACACGGCCCAAACUCCUACGGGAGGCAGCAGUAGGGAAUCUUCGGCAAUGGACGAAAGUCUGACCGAGCAACGCCGCGUGAGUGAAGAAGGUGUUCGGAUCGUAAAACUCUGUUGGUAGAGAAGAACGUUGGUGAGAGUGGAAAGCUCAUCAAGUGACGGUAACGACCCAGAAAGGGACGGCUAACUACGU